UGUGGUGCGGAGCCCGCGCCCCUCAGCCGCUGCGCGGGAACUCUGCGCUCCCGAAAGCGGCGCUCUCCCUCGCUCAAAUGGCCACAGGGGAGCUUAAAAUUCAUUUUCAGCCUGUUGAAAAAGCCUCCAUCGUGCAACGAAGACUGGGAAGAGUCCAGUUCCUGUCAAAAAUAAGAAAAUAGGAAAGUGCAGAGGCGGCCAGCUCCUGCUGCACGGAAGGCUGAAGGACUGAAUUGAGAAGACCAGUACCAGCAACAGUUCAAUGGAGCCAAAAUAAGAGAUUUACCUAGAGGAUAUAGAUGCUAUAGUCGAGGCAGAUAGUGGAUAAUCCAAAUGUAUAAACAGCUAAUAACCUAUGUUACUAUUUACAGCAAAGUUAACCAAGAUUAAGUUGCUCAGAAUGCAGAACUCUGUUCCUUUGAGGUCUACUGUCUCAAGGAUUGCUACAGUCCCCUGUGUGAUGUGCUGCCAAAUGGAAGCUUUAUUCUUCAUCAUAGCUCUCUCCUUUUCAUGCCCUUAACUGAAAUAUUAACUAGUAAAAAUAAUUACUUUAACCAUCAUUUUCUUUAAAUUUCAAAUUGAGGUCUCUUUCAUUCAUUCCAGAAUAAACUACAAUAGCAGUUACUUAAGU
Molecule: long non-coding RNA, 631 nt
Organism: Aptenodytes forsteri (emperor penguin)
Lineage: Eukaryota; Metazoa; Chordata; Aves; Sphenisciformes; Spheniscidae
Exons: 3
Source: RefSeq, a predicted model, not a curated record